CGCGGAGAGGAGAGCGAGCGCGCUGCAGCCCGGCCUCCCGACACCCUUGGACGCAGCGCUCGCCGCAGCGCAGUGGCCAAGGGUGACCCACAGCCAGAGACCACUCCUGGGAGCCGGCGGACCUAGCUGGGCAGCUGAGUCCUGUUCCCCACACCUGCCUCACUGGGAGAGCACUGAACAGCCAAACAGCAAACCACCCGGCCACUGAACUCUGCGGGCCCAGGCCUGGCUCUGGGUCAAGCGACUUCCUUCUGGCCCCUGCAAAGAUGGCAGUGGCUUCCCAAACCAGCCAGACCUCUGACCACUCCUAUGUUGUCGCUCAAAGCCACUGUGCCCUCCUUUCCAACACAGGCAAUUUCACGUGCCACUCGUGGGUCCCACUGGCCUCAGUGUCCAGGAAGGGAAGCAGCCCUGGCUCCAGUCCUGGGAUGGGGCCUGCACAUGACCUGCCCAACCUGCCACCCCUCCUCUUGUCCCUGACCGUGCCUGGCCACCAUCCUGCCCACCAUACCUGCCUCCAGGGGACCCUGCCCCACCCUCCACAGGCCAGCGGGGGUGCAGGUGCCCACAGCUGAAAAGGGUGCCCGUGAUCUACCCUGUGGGAAAGGUGGCACCCCUUGCAGGGGGCAGGCCUUUGUGACUUUCUCAACUCCACUGGGGCCUCUCCUCCAAGCCAGCUGGCACCGUGGGCCAUGGCAGGGGCCACUGUGAGUGGCUGUUGCUGCACUGACACUGCCCUGCUGGGCUCCAGGCUGUGGGGCACACAGACCUCUACCUUGUCCACCGCCACAUCCUCAGAGCCUGGCAACGAGGAAGCGCUCUAGGGCACCCACCGGACAACCUUAAACUCCACCUUAGGUGCUAGCUAACGGGACAGAAAGUGGAGACCCAGCCUUGUCAGCUCAGCCCUGUCCAGCACUGCUUCCCGGGUGCCCGCUGGCCCUAGAGCCGUCUCAUUAACUAACAAUGCUGCCAGUCAGUUAAUAUUUCAUAACCCUCACAACUGCAGCACCGUCUGAUGAAAACUGGUCCCAGGUGGAGGGGUUAAUGAACUGAGCAUCUCAUGAAACAUCUGUACUCAUCCACCCCAGCAUGACUCCUUCCGCCUGCAGAAAAGCUACAGGUCUUACAAGAGGCCCAGAUUCUGUCCUCCGGGACGCUGUUGCAAUGGCAGUUAUGAAAUAUCCUUUGCAGGAAAAUGAAGGAGCGCUGACCACAGCCCUUAAUACAGCAUGUGCCGAUCUACACAAAGCCUCUCUGUGAGGCACAAGGAGUUCUUCAUGGUCUGGGCAUUGUGCCCUAGAUAAAGAGCCCCCUGCCCUGGCAGCAAAGAGAAAAACCACAAUUAGUGAAGGUCCCAAGUGGCACGCAGGAGCAGGGAGCCAGCCGGGCUGCAGACCUGAGAUGGGGCAGGGAGGCGGGGACAGAGCAGCACAGCAGACUUUCCCUGCUUGGGGCCAGGCGGUUAAGGAUGGCAGGCUUUGCGGCCUGGUGGCCUGUCUGGACAUCCUGCUCUGCCUGAGGGGAGCUGUAAGCAGUGCACAGAGUAACCGUGUGGCUGAGCACCAUCUAACUUCACUUCCCAAGACAGGCGGAGGGCCCAAGCCCUGGGCUGCAGCAGUGGUCUUCAGACGGGCGCACCCUUGUUUUCCUGCUCCUGUGAUGUCAACAGAUUGAGAGCUUUCGAGGCAUCGCCUGCAAAGGUGCUGUGGGUAAAUGUACAGGUGUGGUCGUGGCCAGGCACCACCCGAGAUGAAAAGACAGCAUCUAGUGCAGCCCCUGGACUCUGCUCACAGAUGGCACGCCCAUGGGGGACAGUCACCAGACAGCCGGGAGUGGCCCGGGGCCUGAAAAUGCUCGGGACACUGAGCAGAAUCCAACGGUCCAAGCUGCUCCUCUCUCACCAGGGCAGUCAUGGAUUUGCCACAGGCUUCUGACCAGAUUCUUGAACACUGUGUCCGGGCCAUUGGGCAGCAGAGUGCAGGCCAGGGCCGGCUGGACGCCUCUGCAGGUCCCUUGGGGAUCUGAUUCCCAGGUGGCGGUGCUAGGCUGUGGGGCCAUCCGGAGAGCGGGCCUUGAGGGCAGGGGUGCAGUGGGACUCAAAUCCCAGUAGGUUGAGGCACAAACAGCCUGUCUGCCUGUGAGGAUGCAGACAGGAGGUGGACUGGACCCCGGGUCAGCCAGAACCUGGACUGUGACUCCUGGCCUCCGAAACUAUGGGCUUCAAUCUCCGUCAUUUACACCCCCAACCAUGGUAAUACAGUGGCCUGAAAG
Molecule: long non-coding RNA, 2274 nt
Organism: Fukomys damarensis (Damara mole-rat)
Lineage: Eukaryota; Metazoa; Chordata; Mammalia; Rodentia; Bathyergidae
Exons: 2
Source: RefSeq, a predicted model, not a curated record